AUACGGAGGAUGCGAGCGUUAUCCGGAUUUAUUGGGUUUAAAGGGUGCGUAGGCUGUGCGUUAAGUCAGGGGUGAAGUGCCGUCGCUCAACGACGGAGCUGCCCUUGAUACUGGCGUGCUGGAGUACGGAUGCCGUUGGAGGAAUGAGUGGUGUAGCGGUGAAAUGCUUAGAUAUCACUCAGAACACCGAUUGCGAAGGUAUCUGACGAAUCCGUCACUGACGCUGAGGCACGAAAGCGUGGGGAUAGAACAGGAUUAGAUACCCUGGUAUUCCACGCCGUAAACGAUGAUGACUAACCGUCGGCGAUAGACAGCCGGUGGCCAAGCGAAAGCGAUAAGUCAUCCACCUGGGGAGUACGUCGGCAACGAUGAAACUCAAAUGAAUUGACGGGG
This 393-nucleotide ribosomal RNA is filed under the name uncultured bacterium. RNAcentral's name for it is "partial 16S ribosomal RNA". It matches the Rfam family "Bacterial small subunit ribosomal RNA", at positions 523 to 918 of the family's 1533-position model. The record is from RNAcentral.